Labrus bergylta (ballan wrasse) is the source of this 112-nucleotide ribosomal RNA. The record is from Ensembl. Lineage: Eukaryota; Metazoa; Chordata; Actinopteri; Labriformes; Labridae.
GCUUACGACGGCCAUACCACCCUGAACACGCCCGAUCUCAGAAGCUAAGCAGGGUCGGGCCUGGUUAGUACUUGGAUGGGAGACCGCCUGGGAAUACCAGGUGCUGUAAGCU